UCUAAAUUUUACCCAUUCUAGUGGGUGUAUGGUAAUGGCCCACUGUACUUUGGGUUUUUUGUUUGUUUGUUUUUAUAAUUUUAUUUAUUUAUUCAUGAGAGACAUACAGAGAGGCAGAGACACAGGCAAAGGGAGAAGCAGGAUCCCUGCGUGGAGCCCAAUGCAAGACUCAAUCCCAGGAUCCCAGGAUCAUUGUGACCUAAGCCAAGACACUCAACCACUGAGACACCCAGGUGCCCCUGGCCCACUGUACUUUGAAUCCAAUAUCUCUCUGUUUGAAGGAAACCAGAGAAGCUUCAAGGCCAGAGUGAUCGCACAGGGUCCUCCUGAGUACAACACAUUCUCGAGAAGCUGCUGUACGUCACGAAGUUAGGACCCCGUUUACCAAACUUGCUCUGCGCACAAAGAAUUAUUCCAGCCAACGUCCUGAGAAUUUUACAACACAGCUAAAAAUGUUGGAGUUGGAUGAUAUGGAAUCUCAAGGUAAUUCAUUUUGCUCGAAUACAGAUUUGUCAAAGAAGCUUAUGCAUCACUACUUGUUUUGUCUGUUUGUUUGUUUACAUGUAGUUUAGGGAAGAGAAAUUGCAAGUGUCAGCGUGCCUCACCUAAAUCCUGCUCGUGGAGCCUAGUCCCGGAGCUGUGUGAAUGAGCAGCGGGCCCUGCAGUGGUCAGUCACCUCUGAGAAGUAGCCACCAAUCGCCAGUCUUCGCUGAGUAGUGCCCCAGCUGAGAUUUACUGCAUGCUCGUCACGGGCCGGAUGACACCAGGCACAUUUGCAGGAGGACCUUAUUCAAUUCUCACUGCAGCCUUAUGAGCUAACUGCCAUUAGUGUCUGUAUUUUUCAGAGGAGAAACCAGUAUUUCCAGCCCACAGUAGUGUAUUGAGAAUGGAGCUCCAAAAUUCGAUCACCUGGCCCAUCACCAGGCACCUUGAUUCCCCUCACCUUGACUCCGGGCUCUGAGCCUGACAAAUACAACGCAGAGGAACGGACGUCAGGCCCACCACAGAGAGGCUGGGGAUUUACAACUUGGGGCACAAGCCUGAUGCCAUCAGGAGCUUUGUCUUCAUGGCUCCAUGCUGCUCCAGCUGCAGAUGCUGGCAGGUGGGGGCAGAGGGACCCACAGCGACCCUGGAGACACAGCCUAGGACUUGGGUGGUCUGUCCCAGCUUGGGGAUGCUGGUGAAGGCCACAGGGUGCCAUCUGUGCCCCGGCCCACCUCCCCUUCUCCUGCCUCUUCUGACCCUGUACCCACCUUGUCCUUUCAAAGAUGUUUCUUUCUGCAAUCUCUACUCACUGGCUACGGGGCUGCCACAGACCACCUGUCUGCUCUAGCAACGGGGCUCCUACCCACCUUUCUGCCUCUCCCACCUCAUCUAAUGACCUGUUCCAACCUAUCCACUCAUCUUUUUCAUUUCACCACCUCUUUCAAUAUCCUCCCUAUAGACCAGGAGACCAAAUUUAAUUGUAGUAAGGGACCAACUGGGUAACAUUCGUAGAAGUAUCUGGGUGCCAAUCACAAGCAGUCGGGCCGUGGGCAAAUGUAUUCACCAUCUCAAAGAUUCAGAUUCAAAGGUAUUAAAACACCAUGAACAAAGCGAGUCUAGAGAAAUGGAAUUGGGUUGCCUCAUUUAGACCCAUUCAUAGACCUUGUCACUAUGGCUAAAUUACAUUCUUGGUACUAAUCAGUGAAACACCCUGGUUCUGAAAUCAUUAUGAUGACAAGAGGUGGGGAAAGAAAGCUGGCCUGCACCAGCCAGCUACGCUACUGACUAGCGUAUGGGCACAAUGCAGAAGAACCUUUUCUGCCUUGCUGUACCU
This is a long non-coding RNA of Nyctereutes procyonoides (raccoon dog), 1819 nucleotides long. RefSeq lists it as uncharacterized. NCBI's taxonomy places the organism in Eukaryota, Metazoa, Chordata, Mammalia, Carnivora, Canidae. The transcript has 3 exons. The record is from RefSeq and is a predicted model, not a curated record.